ACGAAGCUGGAUUCGCUAGUAAUCGCGCAUCAGCCACGGCGCGGUGAAUACGUUCCCGGGCCUUGUACACACCGCUCGUCAAGCCAUGGGAGCCCGGGGGUACCUGAAGUGCGUAACCGCGAGGAGCGCCCUAGGGUAAAACUGGUGACUGGGGCUAAGUCGUAACAAGGUAGC
Molecule: ribosomal RNA, 174 nt
Filed under: uncultured bacterium
Lineage: Bacteria
Description: partial 16S ribosomal RNA
Rfam family: Bacterial small subunit ribosomal RNA
Source: RNAcentral